AUGUCAAAAGGUCAGAUUCCGCCUGUGCUUGCACAGUGGUGGAAGAAUGACCUUGGGACAUGCCCCGGCAUGAGCCUAAAAGCGGAGCGAAGCUUCGCGAUAUGCGAAUGAAGGGGCGGAUUGUGGGAGUGCGAAGCACGUAGCAAUCCGUGUA
Molecule: small RNA, 154 nt
Filed under: Mediterraneibacter butyricigenes
Lineage: Bacteria; Bacillati; Bacillota; Clostridia; Lachnospirales; Lachnospiraceae
Description: Clostridiales-1 RNA
Rfam family: Clostridiales-1 RNA
Source: RNAcentral